This 606-nucleotide ribosomal RNA is filed under the name Shigella dysenteriae. RNAcentral's name for it is "bacterial SSU rRNA". It matches the Rfam family "Bacterial small subunit ribosomal RNA", at positions 50 to 649 of the family's 1533-position model. The record is from RNAcentral. Lineage: Bacteria; Pseudomonadati; Pseudomonadota; Gammaproteobacteria; Enterobacterales; Enterobacteriaceae.
UACACAUGCAGUCGUGCAAGGUACCAAGACUUUGUUCUUUUGCUUUCGAGUGGGGGAGGGGUGAGUAAUGUGUGGGAAACUGCCUGAUGGAGGGGAUUAACUACUGGACCGGUACUUAAUACCGCAUAACGUCUUAAGACCAAGGAGGGGGACCUUCGGGCCUCUUGCCAUCGGAUGUGCCCGAAUGGGAUUCGCUAGUAUGUGGGGUAACGGCUCACCUAGGCCACCAUCCCUACCAGGUCUGACAGGAUGACCAGCCACAUUGGAACUGAUACACGGUCCACACUCCUACGGCACGCAGGGGUGGGGAAUAUUGCACAUUGGGCGCAAUGCUGAAGCACCCGUGCCGCGUGUAUGACGAAGGCCUUCAGGUUUUUCAGAUCUUUCAACUGGGAUGAAGGGAAAAAAGUUAUUAACUUUGCUCUGUGUGUUUCCCCGCAGAACAAUCUUAGAAUAACUCCGUGCCAUCCGCCGCGGCAGUACGGAGGGUGCAAGCGUGAAUCGGAAUUACUGGACUUAUAGCGCACGCAGGCGGCUUGUGCGGUCCUAUGUGUAAUCCCCGAGCUCCCCCUGCUAACUGCAGGAGAUACUGUCAAGCUUGAGUCU